CCGUUGCCGGCGACCGGCGCACGGGUGAGUAACACGUAUGCAACCUGCCCGUGGCAGGGGGAGUAAGCGGGGGAAACCCCGUCUAAUACCGCGUAACGCGGCCUUGGGGCAUCCCAAGGCCGCCAAAGGGGAGCAAUCCCGGCCACGGAUGGGCAUGCGGCGCAUUAGCUAGUCGGCGGGGUAACGGCCCACCGAGGCGACGAUGCGUAGGGGUUCUGAGAGGAAGGCCCCCCACACUGGUACUGAGACACGGACCAGACUCCUACGGGAGGCAGCAG
This 278-nucleotide ribosomal RNA is filed under the name uncultured bacterium. RNAcentral describes it as "partial 16S ribosomal RNA". It matches the Rfam family "Bacterial small subunit ribosomal RNA", at positions 82 to 354 of the family's 1533-position model. The record is from RNAcentral.